AGUGAACGCUGGCGGUAGGCCUAACACAUGCAAGUCGAACGGCAGCACAGUAAGAGCUUGCUCUUACGGGUGGCGAGUGGCGGACGGGUGAGGAAUACAUCGGAAUCUACUUUUUCGUGGGGGAUAACGUAGGGAAACUUACGCUAAUACCGCAUACGACCUACGGGUGAAAGCAGGGGAUCUUCGGACCUUGCGCGAUUGAAUGAGCCGAUGUCGGAUUAGCUAGUUGGCGGGGUAAAGGCCCACCAAGUCGACGAUCCGUAGCUGGUCUGAGAGGAUGGUCAGCCACACUGGAACUGAGACACGGUCCAGACUCCUACGGGAGGCAGCAGUGGGGAAUAUUGGACAAAGGGCGCGAGCCUGAUCCAGCCAUACCGAGUGGGUGAAGAAGGCCUUCGGGUUGUAAAGCCCUUUUGUUGGGAAAGAAAAGCAGCAGGUUAAUACCCCGCUGUUCUGACGGUACCCAAAGAAUAAGCACCGGCUAACUUCGUG
RNAcentral lists this ribosomal RNA (492 nucleotides) under uncultured bacterium. RNAcentral's name for it is "partial 16S ribosomal RNA". It matches the Rfam family "Bacterial small subunit ribosomal RNA", at positions 29 to 507 of the family's 1533-position model. The record is from RNAcentral.